RNAcentral lists this ribosomal RNA (425 nucleotides) under uncultured bacterium. RNAcentral's name for it is "partial 16S ribosomal RNA". It matches the Rfam family "Bacterial small subunit ribosomal RNA", at positions 354 to 796 of the family's 1533-position model. The record is from RNAcentral.
GUGGGUAAUAUUGGACAAUGGGCGCAAGCCUGAUCCAGCCAUGCCGCGUGAGUGAUGAAGGCCUUAGGGUUGUAAAGCUCUUUCAGUGGGGACGAUAAUGACGGUACCCACAGAAGAAGCCCCGGCUAACUUCGUGCCAGCAGCCGCGGUAAUACGAAGGGGGCUAGCGUUGUUCGGAUUUACUGGGCGUAAAGCGCACGUAGGCGGAUCGUUAAGUCGGGGGUGAAAUCCUGGAGCUCAACUCCAGAACUGCCUUCGAUACUGGCGAUCUUGAGUCCGGAAGAGGUGAGUGGAACUCCUAGUGUAGAGGUGGAAUUCGUAGAUAUUAGGAAGAACACCAGUGGCGAAGGUGGCUCACUGGUCCGGUACUGACGCUGAGGUGCGAAAGCGUGGGGAGCAAACAGGAUUAGAUACCCCUGUAGUCC